GACGAACGCUGGCGGCGUGCUUAACACAUGCAAGUCGAACGGAAAGGCCCUGCUUUUGUGGGGUGCUCGAGUGGCGAACGGGUGAGUAACACGUGAGUAACCUGCCCUUGACUUUGGGAUAACUUCAGGAAACUGGGGCUAAUACCGGAUAGGAGCUCCUGCUGCAUGGUGGGGGUUGGAAAGUUUCGGCGGUUGGGGAUGGACUCGCGGCUUAUCAGCUUGUUGGUGGGGUAGUGGCUUACCAAGGCUUUGACGGGUAGCCGGCCUGAGAGGGUGACCGGCCACAUUGGGACUGAGAUACGGCCCAGACUCCUACGGGAGGCAGCAGUGGGGAAUAUUGCACAAUGGGCGGAAGCCUGAUGCAGCAACGCCGCGUGCGGGAUGACGGCCUUCGGGUUGUAAACCGCUUUCGCCUGUGACGAAGCGUGAGUGACGGUAUGGGUAAAGAAGCACCGGCUAACUACGUG
This 467-nucleotide ribosomal RNA is filed under the name uncultured bacterium. Its description in RNAcentral is "partial 16S ribosomal RNA". It matches the Rfam family "Bacterial small subunit ribosomal RNA", at positions 28 to 507 of the family's 1533-position model. The record is from RNAcentral.